GAUGAACGCUGGCGGCGUGCCUAAUACAUGCAAGUCGAGCGAACGGACGAGAAGCUUGCUUUUCUGAUGUUAGCGGCGGACGGGUGAGUAACACGUGGAUAACCUACCUAUAAGACUGGGAUAACUUCGGGAAACCGGAGCUAAUAUCGGAUAAUAUUUUGAACCGCAUGGUUCAAAAGUGAAAGACGGUCUUGCUGUCACUUAUAGAUGGAUCCGCGCUGCAUUAGCUAGUUGGUAAGGUAACGGCUUACCAAGGCAACGAUGCAUAGCCGACCUGAGAGGGUGAUCGGCCACACUGGAACUGAGACACGGUCCAGACUCCUACGGGAGGCAGCAGUAGGGAAUCUUGCGCAAUGGGCGAAAGCCUGACGGAGCAACGCCGCGUGAGUGAUGAAGGUCUUCGGAUCGUAAAACUCUGUUAUUAGGGAAGAACAUAUUUGUAAGUAACUGUGCACAUCUUGACGGUACCUAAUCAGAAAGCCACGGCUAACUACGUG
This 497-nucleotide ribosomal RNA is filed under the name uncultured bacterium. RNAcentral's name for it is "partial 16S ribosomal RNA". It matches the Rfam family "Bacterial small subunit ribosomal RNA", at positions 28 to 507 of the family's 1533-position model. The record is from RNAcentral.